RNAcentral lists this ribosomal RNA (497 nucleotides) under uncultured bacterium. RNAcentral's name for it is "partial 16S ribosomal RNA". It matches the Rfam family "Bacterial small subunit ribosomal RNA", at positions 28 to 507 of the family's 1533-position model. The record is from RNAcentral.
GAUGAACGCUGGCGGCGUGCCUAAUACAUGCAAGUCGAGCGAACAGAUAAGGAGCUUGCUCCUUUGACGUUAGCGGCGGACGGGUGAGUAACACGUGGGUAACCUACCUAUAAGACUGGGAUAACUUCGGGAAACCGGAGCUAAUACCGGAUAAUAUUUCGAACCGCAUGGUUCGAUAGUGAAAGAUGGUUUUGCUAUCACUUAUAGAUGGACCCGCGCCGUAUUAGCUAGUUGGUAAGGUAACGGCUUACCAAGGCGACGAUACGUAGCCGACCUGAGAGGGUGAUCGGCCACACUGGAACUGAGACACGGUCCAGACUCCUACGGGAGGCAGCAGUAGAGAAUCUUCCGCAAUGGGCGAAAGCCUGACGGAGCAACGCCGCGUGAGUGAUGAAGGUCUUCGGAUCGUAAAACUCUGUUAUUAGGGAAGAACAUACGUGUAAGUAACUGUGCACGUCUUGACGGUACCUAAUCAGAAAGCCACGGCUAACUACGUG